RNAcentral lists this ribosomal RNA (418 nucleotides) under uncultured bacterium. RNAcentral describes it as "bacterial SSU rRNA". It matches the Rfam family "Bacterial small subunit ribosomal RNA", at positions 355 to 773 of the family's 1533-position model. The record is from RNAcentral.
UGAGGAAUAUUGCGCAAUGGGCGAAAGCCUGACGCAGCAACGCCGCGUGGAUGAUGAAGUUCUUCGGAAUGUAAAAUCCUUUUGCAGAGGAAGAAAAUGCUGGUUUACCGGCACUGACGGUACUCUGCGAAUAAGCCACGGCUAACUCUGUGCCAGCAGCCGCGGUGAUACGGGGGUGGCAAGCGUUGUCCGGAUUUACUGGGUGUAAAGGGUGCGCAGGCGGGCUCAUAAGUCGGGGGUUAAAUCCAUGUGCUUAACACAUGCAUGGCUUCCGAUACUGUGAGUCUAGAGUCUCGAAGAGGAAGAUGGAAUUUCCGGUGUAACGGUGGAAUGUGUAGAUAUCGGAGAGAACACCGGUGACAAGAGCAGUCUACUGGACGGGAACUGGCGCUCGGGAACGAAAGCGUGGGGAGCAAAC